Long non-coding RNA from Lactuca sativa (garden lettuce), 3616 nucleotides. RefSeq lists it as uncharacterized. Lineage: Eukaryota; Viridiplantae; Streptophyta; Magnoliopsida; Asterales; Asteraceae. The record is from RefSeq and is a predicted model, not a curated record.
UGCUAGUCCCUACCCCCAACCUCCAAACACAAUUGUACGGGUUCUCCCGUCAUUUGAAGCUACACCACCAAAAGACUAUCGGACCACCGUACCGACGUCGUCGGAACCACUAAACUACUGCCUCUUUCAUCCGCCUCUAGUACUCAUUUCGCCGGAAGUCACCUCCUUUUGUCUCUACUCUUCUCGAUCUAGCUUCCCAGCCGCUAGAUUAGGUUUCAUCGGCCACCACCGUCACCAUCGGAUCUGCCAAUGUUGCUACCAGAACUGGCCUUCUGAACCACCUCCCUCAAUCGUUUGUAACAAGAUGAAUCGAUCGUUUGUAACAAGAUGAAUCGGUAUUGUUUAUAUUGAAAUUAUGGCUCGCCUGUUUACUCAUCGGCUGGGUUACUUCUCUUCAGGUAAUGAUUUCAAUACACACUUCAAAAGUUAAACGAGAUGAAUAAAUACUUUAUUUUGAAGAUGCUGUAAAAAUGGAGUUAUGAUUAUAGGGGAAUAUGAUUUUGUUAAAAAGGAAAACUUCCUUCAAGUAAAAGUUCGGAACCCUAGACAAUCAAAUCUAUAACGAUCGACAAGAUUCAAGUCAGGAUUAGUAGCCAAUUUGGAAUGCAAUCAAUUCGGCUACUUAUUGUUCUUGGAAAGGAAAUGAUCCAUCUUGCUCAUGCUAGCUAAUUUUCAAGAUCAAGGAGGUGGGUGUGGGGUGGUGGCAGCAGGUGGUGGAGGCAGGGUGGUGGUGAUUAGUGGUGGUGGUGUGUGGUGAUGUGUAGUGGUAGGUGGGUGGGUGGUUGCAAGUGAUGGUGGGUGGGUAUGGGUGGUGGAUUUAAUUCAUUUUUUCUUUGUGAUUAUAUGAAUCUAAUCACAUAUGAUUAAAUACAUAUAAUCACAUUUGAUUAUAUGAAUCUAAUCACAUAACUCAUUUUUGCUUUGCUGAUUCAAUAGUCGUUCUCAUGUAUUUUAUCAAAUGUGAUUAUAGGUAUAAUCAUAUUUGAUUAAGUACAUGAGCAUUGCUAUUGAAUCGAGAAGGAAAAAAUGCAUCUUGUCCACCUCAAAUCAUAUAUUAUUAUAUACAUAUAAUCACAUGUGAUUAAUUACACAAAAGCAAUUACUUAGUCGAAAGUUGUUAUUAUAUGUAUUCAAUCAUAUAUGAUUUAUGUGGAUGAGAUUCAUUGUCACAAUCUCGAUUAAAUAAUUGUUCUUUGUCCACUGCAAUCAUAUGUGAUUAAAUACAUAUAAUCAUAUGUAUCUAAUCACAUAUGAUUUAUACAAACAAAAAAUAAUGAUGUCUAUAUAAAUCAUAUGUGAUUAUAUACAUAUAAUCACAUAUGAUUAUAUAUACACAAGAACAAUUAUUAAAUCGAAAACACAAAGAUAAAUAUUGUCCACAUAUAUCAUAUGUGAUUAAAUGCAUAUAAUCCCUUGUGAUUAUAUGUAUCUAAUCACAUAAAAUUUAUGUGGAAAAUAUUUAUUUUCGUUUUCACGAUUACGUUGUUGUUUUUGUGUGCUUAAUUAUAUGAGAUUAUAUGUAUCUAAUUAGAUAUGAUUUAUAUAGACAAUAAUGAUUCUCACAUUCUUGUUCAAUAGUUGUUCUUUUACAUUUAGUCGCAUAUGAUUUCUGUACACAAGAUUCAUUUUCGUGUUUUUGAUUAAAUAAUUUUUCUUUUUAUACAUUAAUCAUAUGUGAUUAAUACAUACAAUCACAAACGAUUAAUAUACAUAAGAAAAAAUAUUUACUCAUGAAUAUUAUCAAUAUAAAUCAUAUGCGAUUUGAUACAUAUAAUCACAUAUGAUUAAGUACAUCAGUACAACUGUUGAAUUGAGAAAGAAAUAAUGAAUAUUGUCCACAUAAAUCAUAUGUGAUUAAAUACAUAUAAUCACAUGUGAUUAAACAUAUUAGAACAAUUAUUGAAUCGACGCAAGAAUAAAUAUUUUUCAUAUGCGUCAUAUGUAAUUAAAUAUAUAUAAUCACAUGUGAUUAAACACAUAAGAACAACUAUUAAAUCAACAUGUGAAAAAAAAUAUUGUCCAUAUAAAUCAUAUGUGAUUAAAUAGAUAUAAUCACAUGUGAUUUAAUACACGAUGCCAAUUAUUAAAUCAAAAACACGAAAAUAAAUAUAGCCCACGUAAAUAAUAUUUUAUUAAAUACAUAUAAUCAUAUGUAGUUAUAUGUAUCUAAUCAUAUAUGAUUUAUGUGGACAAUAUUCAUUUUUGCAUUCUCGAUUCACUAGUUUUUCACGUGUAUUUAAUCACAUGUGAUUUUAUGUAUUUAAUAACAUACAAAUCCUAUAAGAUUCGAUACAUUUAACCACAUGUGACUCGAUAUCUAUAAUGAUAUGUCAUUAUAUACGAGAGAAAACCUAAUGAAUCAAAAGCACAAUAACAAAUCUUUGUAGGUGGGGGUGGGGGUGGUGUAGGCGGGGUAAUGGUGGUGUGUGAUGAUGGGUGGUUGCAAGUGGUGGUGAUAGUGAUGGGUGAUGGUAUUGGUAGGUAGUGGGUGUGGGUGGUGGGUGGUGGCGGCGAGUGGUGAUGGUUAGGUGGGUGGUGGUGGUGGUGGUGGUUGGUGGUGGUGAUGGUUGUGGUGGGUGGUGGUGGUGAUGGGUGGUAAUGGGUGAUAGAUAAUGAUGGGUGGUGGUUGGUGGUGGUGGGUGGUGGUUAUGGUGGGGGGUGGCUGGUGGUGGUGAAUGGUGAUGGGUACUAAUGAGUGGUGGUGGUUGGGUGGGGAUGGUUGUGGGUGGUGAUGGUAGUGGUGGGUAAUGGUUGGUGGUGGUGGUGGUGGUGGUGGGUAGUGAUGGUUGGUGGGUGGUGGUUGUUAGUGAUGGUUAGUGAUGGGUGGUGGUGGUGGGUAGUGGUUGUGGGUUGUGGUGGCAUACGGUGGUGAUAUGUGGUGGAGGUGGGUGGUUAUGGCGGGUCAUGGUGGUUGGAUGGUGAUGGUGGUGGGUGGUGAUUGUGGUGGCGGGUGGUCGUUGGUGGUGGUGGGUAGUGAUGGGUGGUGGGUGGUAGGUAGUGGGUGGUGGUUGGUGGUGAUGGUGGUGGCGGGUGGUGGGUAGUAAUGGGUAGCGGGUGGUGGUUGGUGGUGGUGGGUAGUGAUGAGUGGUGGUUGGUGGUGGUGGUGGUUGUUGUGGUGGGUGGGUAGUGGUUGGUGGUGGAGGGUAUUGGUUGUUGGUGGUGGUGGCGGGCGGUGGUGAUGGGUGGUAGGUAGUGGUUGUUGUUGGUGGUGGUGGGCAAUGGAGAUGGGUGGUGGUGGCGGGUGGUAGUGGUUGGGUGGUGAUGGUGGUGGCGGAGGUGGUUGGUGGUGGUCGUGGUCGUGGGUGGGUAGUGAUGGGUAGUGAGUAGUGGUUAGUGGUGGUGGUUAGUCAUGGGUGGUGGUGGCGUAUGGUGGUGGUAGUGGUGGGUGGUGGUAGCGCAUGGUGGUGGUGGGUGGUGUUGGUUGGAUGGUGAGUGGUGUUAGUUAGUGGGUUUUUUAAUUAUUUGUAACUAUUUUUUGAUUUAUAUGAAUAUUAUUUUAUAAUUUUAAUUAAAAAACUUGUGUUAUUCAAAUUUGUUAUCAAACUAGUUGUGAAACCCGUAUAUUAUACAGGUUAAUUAAAACAUAAUGUUAAACAGAAGCGAUUAAAUGAAGAGU